UUUUAGCCCCGAUAGCAGCGGCAUCCUUUUGGGGUGGGGUUCAGCCCAAAAGAUACAGCGGAUAGCGGGAAUAGCU
This 76-nucleotide small RNA is filed under the name Flavobacterium sp. 270. RNAcentral describes it as "Flavo-1 RNA". It matches the Rfam family "Flavo-1 RNA". Lineage: Bacteria; Pseudomonadati; Bacteroidota; Flavobacteriia; Flavobacteriales; Flavobacteriaceae. The record is from RNAcentral.